Molecule: ribosomal RNA, 431 nt
Filed under: uncultured bacterium
Lineage: Bacteria
Description: partial 16S ribosomal RNA
Rfam family: Bacterial small subunit ribosomal RNA
Source: RNAcentral
AACGAACGCUGGCGGCAGGCCUAACACAUGCAAGUCGAGCGCCCUUUCGGGGGAGCGGCGGACGGGUGAGUAACGCGUGGGAAUAUGCCCUUCUCUACGGAAUAGCCUCGGGAAACUGAGAGUAAUACCGUAUACGCCCUUUGGGGGAAAGAUUUAUCGGGGAAGGAUUAGCCCGCGUUGGAUUAGGUAGUUGGUGGGGUAAUGGCCUACCAAGCCGACGAUCCAUAGCUGGUUUGAGAGGAUGAUCAGCCACACUGGGACUGAGACACGGCCCAGACUCCUACGGGAGGCAGCAGUGGGGAAUCUUAGACAAUGGGGGUAACCCUGAUCUAGCCAUGCCGCGUGAGUGAUGAAGGCCUUAGGGUUGUAAAGCUCUUUCAGCUGGGAAGAUAAUGACGGUACCAGCAGAAGAAGCCCCGGCUAACUCCGUG